This 885-nucleotide ribosomal RNA is filed under the name uncultured Acinetobacter sp. RNAcentral describes it as "bacterial SSU rRNA". It matches the Rfam family "Bacterial small subunit ribosomal RNA", at positions 56 to 935 of the family's 1533-position model. Lineage: Bacteria; Pseudomonadati; Pseudomonadota; Gammaproteobacteria; Moraxellales; Moraxellaceae. The record is from RNAcentral.
UGCAAGUCGAGCGGAGAGAGGUAGCUUGCUACUGAUCUUAGCGGCGGACGGGUGAGUAAUGCUUAGGAAUCUGCCUAUUAGUGGGGGACAACAUUUCGAAAGGAAUGCUAAUACCGCAUACGUCCUACGGGAGAAAGCAGGGGAUCUUCGGACCUUGCGCUAAUAGAUGAGCCUAAGUCGGAUUAGCUAGUUGGUGGGGUAAAGGCCUACCAAGGCGACGAUCUGUAGCGGGUCUGAGAGGAUGAUCCGCCACACUGGGACUGAGACACGGCCCAGACUCCUACGGGAGGCAGCAGUGGGGAAUAUUGGACAAUGGGCGCAAGCCUGAUCCAGCCAUGCCGCGUGUGUGAAGAAGGCCUUAUGGUUGUAAAGCACUUUAAGCGAGGAGGAGGCUACUUUAGUUAAUACCUAGAGAUAGUGGACGUUACUCGCAGAAUAAGCACCGGCUAACUCUGUGCCAGCAGCCGCGGUAAUACAGAGGGUGCAAGCGUUAAUCGGAUUUACUGGGCGUAAAGCGCGCGUAGGCGGCUAAUUAAGUCAAAUGUGAAAUCCCCGAGCUUAACUUGGGAAUUGCAUUCGAUACUGGUUAGCUAGAGUGUGGGAGAGGAUGGUAGAAUUCCAGGUGUAGCGGUGAAAUGCGUAGAGAUCUGGAGGAAUACCGAUGGCGAAAGCAGCCAUCUGGCCUAACACUGACGCUGAGGUGCGAAAGCAUGGGGAGCAAACAGGAUUAGAUACCCUGGUAGUCCAUGCCGUAAACGAUGUCUACUAGCCGUUGGGGCCUUUGAGGCUUUAGUGGCGCAGCUAACGCGAUAAGUAGACCGCCUGGGGAGUACGGUCGCAAGACUAAAACUCAAAUGAAUUUGACGGGGCCCGCACAAGCGGUGG